RNAcentral lists this ribosomal RNA (402 nucleotides) under uncultured prokaryote. RNAcentral's name for it is "bacterial SSU rRNA". It matches the Rfam family "Bacterial small subunit ribosomal RNA", at positions 355 to 774 of the family's 1533-position model. The record is from RNAcentral.
UAGGGAAUAUUAGAAAUGGACGAAAGUCUGAUCUAGCGACACCGCGUGUGCGAUGAAGGCCUUCGGGUUGUAAAGCACUUUUUGGAAGGAAUAGGAAGGAAUGUACUUCCAGAAUAAGUCUCGGCUAACUACGUGCCAGCAGCCGCGGUAACACGUAGGAGGCAAACGUUAUCCGGAUUUACUGGGCGUAAAGCGCGUGUAGGUGGUUCUGUAAGUAGGGCGUGAAAGCUCCCGGCUCAACUGGGGGAGGCCGUUCUAAACUGCAGAACUAGAGGAUGGUAGAGGGAGGUGGAAUUUCAGGUGUAGCGGUGGAAUGCGCAGAUAUCUGAAGGAACACCAGUGGCGAAAGCGGCCUCCUGGACCAUUCCUGACACUCAGACGCGAAAGCUAGGGUAGCAAACA